CGUUAGCUCAGCUUGGUAGAGCAGCAGACUUUUAAUCUGCGGGUCGCAGGUUCGAAUCCUGCACG
This 65-nucleotide transfer RNA is filed under the name marine eukaryotic metagenome. It matches the Rfam family "tRNA", at positions 5 to 66 of the family's 71-position model. From Rfam's summary of the family: Transfer RNA (tRNA) molecules are approximately 80 nucleotides in length. Their secondary structure includes four short double-helical elements and three loops (D, anti-codon, and T loops). Further hydrogen bonds mediate the characteristic L-shaped molecular structure. tRNAs have two regions of fundamental functional importance: the anti-codon, which is responsible for specific mRNA codon recognition, and the 3' end, to which the tRNAs corresponding amino acid is attached (by aminoacyl-tRNA synthetases). tRNAs cope with the degeneracy of the genetic code in two manners: having more than one tRNA (with a specific anti-codon) for a particular amino acid; and 'wobble' base-pairing, i.e. permitting non-standard base-pairing at the 3rd anti-codon position. The record is from RNAcentral.